This 484-nucleotide ribosomal RNA is filed under the name uncultured bacterium. RNAcentral's name for it is "partial 16S ribosomal RNA". It matches the Rfam family "Bacterial small subunit ribosomal RNA", at positions 30 to 507 of the family's 1533-position model. The record is from RNAcentral.
AUUGAACGCUGGCGGCAGGCCUAACACAUGCAAGUCGAGCGGAUGAAGGGAGCUUGCUCCUGGAUUCAGCGGCGGACGGGUGAGUAAUGCCUAGGAAUCUGCCUGGUAGCGGGGGAUAACGUCCGGAAACGGGCGCUAAUACCGCAUACGUCCUGAGGGUGAAAGUGGGGGAUCUUCGGACCUCACGCUAUCAGAUGAGCCUAGGUCGGAUUAGCUAGUUGGUGGGGUAAAGGCCUACCAAGGCGACGAUCCGUAACUGGUCUGAGAGGAUGAUCAGUCACACUGGAACUGAGACACGGUCCAGACUCCUACGGGAGGCAGCAGUGGGGAAUAUUGGACAAUGGGCGAAAGCCUGAUCCAGCCAUGCCGCGUGUGUGAAGAAGGUCUUCGGAUUGUAAAGCACUUUAAGUUGGGAGGAAGGGCAGUAAGUUAAUACCUUGCUGUUUUGACGGUACCAACAGAAUAAGCACCGGCUAACUUCGUG